AGUACAACCUUGGCUAUCUCUGA
This 23-nucleotide unclassified non-coding RNA is filed under the name Mus musculus (house mouse). Its description in RNAcentral is "oocyte_clustered_small_RNA5971". Lineage: Eukaryota; Metazoa; Chordata; Mammalia; Rodentia; Muridae. The record is from RNAcentral.